This 1458-nucleotide ribosomal RNA is filed under the name uncultured organism. RNAcentral describes it as "SSU rRNA". It matches the Rfam family "Bacterial small subunit ribosomal RNA". The record is from RNAcentral.
GCGGCGUGCCUAAUACAUGCAAGUAGAACGCUGAAGAGAGGAGCUUGCUCUUCUUGGAUGAGUUGCGAACGGGUGAGUAACGCGUAGGUAACCUGCCUUGUAGCGGGGGAUAACUAUUGGAAACGAUAGCUAAUACCGCAUAACAAUGGAUGACACAUGUCAUUUAUUUGAAAGGGGCAAAUGCUCCACUACAAGAUGGACCUGCGUUGUAUUAGCUAGUAGGUGAGGUAACGGCUCACCUAGGCGACGAUACAUAGCCGACCUGAGAGGGUGAUCGGCCACACUGGGACUGAGACACGGCCCAGACUCCUACGGGAGGCAGCAGUAGGGAAUCUUCGGCAAUGGGGGCAACCCUGACCGAGCAACGCCGCGUGAGUGAAGAAGGUUUUCGGAUCGUAAAGCUCUGUUGUAAGUCAAGAACGAGUGUGAGAGUGGAAAGUUCACACUGUGACGGUAGCUUACCAGAAAGGGACGGCUAACUACGUGCCAGCAGCCGCGGUAAUACGUAGGUCCCGAGCGUUGUCCGGAUUUAUUGGGCGUAAAGCGAGCGCAGGCGGUUUGAUAAGUCUGAAGUUAAAGGCUGUGGCUCAACCAUAGUUCGCUUUGGAAACUGUCAAACUUGAGUGCAGAAGGGGAGAGUGGAAUUCCAUGUGUAGCGGUGAAAUGCGUAGAUAUAUGGAGGAACACCGGUGGCGAAAGCGGCUCUCUGGUCUGUAACUGACGCUGAGGCUCGAAAGCGUGGGGAGCGAACAGGAUUAGAUACCCUGGUAGUCCACGCCGUAAACGAUGAGUGCUAGGUGUUGGAUCCUUUCCGGGAUUCAGUGCCGCAGCUAACGCAUUAAGCACUCCGCCUGGGGAGUACGACCGCAAGGUUGAAACUCAAAGGAAUUGACGGGGGCCCGCACAAGCGGUGGAGCAUGUGGUUUAAUUCGAAGCAACGCGAAGAACCUUACCAGGUCUUGACAUCCCGAUGCUAUUUCUAGAGAUAGAAAGUUACUUCGGUACAUCGGUGACAGGUGGUGCAUGGUUGUCGUCAGCUCGUGUCGUGAGAUGUUGGGUUAAGUCCCGCAACGAGCGCAACCCCUAUUGUUAGUUGCCAUCAUUCAGUUGGGCACUCUAGCGAGACUGCCGGUAAUAAACCGGAGGAAGGUGGGGAUGACGUCAAAUCAUCAUGCCCCUUAUGACCUGGGCUACACACGUGCUACAAUGGUUGGUACAACGAGUUGCGAGUCGGUGACGGCAAGCUAAUCUCUUAAAGCCAACCUCAGUUCGGAUUGUAGGCUGCAACUCGCCUACAUGAAGUCGGAAUCGCUAGUAAUCGCGGAUCAGCACGCCGCGGUGAAUACGUUCCCGGGCCUUGUACACACCGCCCGUCACACCACGAGAGUUUGUAACACCCGAAGUCGGUGAGGUAACCUUUUGGAGCCAGCCGCCUAAGGUGGGAUAGAUGAUUGGGCU